CCUACGGGAGGCAGCAGUGGGGAAUCUUGCGCAAUGGGCGAAAGCCUGACGCAGCCAUGCCGCGUGAAUGAUGAAGGUCUUAGGAUUGUAAAAUUCUUUCACCGGGGACGAUAAUGACGGUACCCGGAGAAGAAGCCCCGGCUAACUUCGUGCCAGCAGCCGCGGUAAUACGAAGGGGGCUAGCGUUGCUCGGAAUUACUGGGCGUAAAGGGAGCGUAGGCGGAUAGUUUAGUCAGAGGUGAAAGCCCAGGGCUCAACCUUGGAAUUGCCUUUGAUACUGGCUAUCUUGAGUUUGGGAGAGGUGAGUGGAACUCCGAGUGUAGAGGUGAAAUUCGUAGAUAUUCGGAAGAACACCAGUGGCGAAGGCGACUCACUGGCCCAAUACUGACGCUGAGGCUCGAAAGCGUGGGGAGCAAACAGGAUUAGAUACCCUGGUAGUCCACGCCGUAAACGAUGAGUGCUAGUUGUCGGCAUGCAUGCAUGUCGGUGACGCAGCUACGCAUAAGACACUCCGCCGUCGGGGAGGUACGGUCGCGAGAUUAAACUACAAUAGAAGUUAGUACGGCGUGAGACGUGCCGACGGACGACGACGAGGGAGUUAGG
RNAcentral lists this ribosomal RNA (603 nucleotides) under uncultured bacterium. RNAcentral describes it as "bacterial SSU rRNA". The stretch from base 1 to 516 matches the Rfam family "Bacterial small subunit ribosomal RNA", at positions 338 to 873 of the family's 1533-position model. The record is from RNAcentral.